GUUUGAUCAUGGCUCAGAUUGAACGCUGGCGGCAGGCCUAACACAUGCAAGUCGAGCGGUAGAGAGAAGCUUGCUUCUCUUGAGAGCGGCGGACGGGUGAGUAAUGCCUAGGAAUCUGCCUGGUAGUGGGGGUUAACGUUCGGAAACGGACGCUAAUACCGCAUACGUCCUACGGGAGAAAGCAGGGGACCUUCGGGCCUUGCGCUAUCAGAUGAGCCUAGGUCGGAUUAGCUAGUUGGUGAGGUAAUGGCUCACCAAGGCGACGAUCCGUAACUGGUCUGAGAGGAUGAUCAGUCACACUGGAACUGAGACACGGUCCAGACUCCUACGGGAGGCAGCAGUGGGGAAUAUUGGACAAUGGGCGAAAGCCUGAUCCAGCCAUGCCGCGUGUGUGAAGAAGGUCUUCGGAUUGUAAAGCACUUUAAGUUGGGAGGAAGGGCAGUUACCUAAUACGUGAUUGUUUUGACGUUACCGACAGAAUAAGCACCGGCUAACUCUGUGCCAGCAGCCGCGGUAAUACAGAGGGUGCAAGCGUUAAUCGGAAUUACUGGGCGUAAAGCGCGCGUAGGUGGUUUGUUAAGUUGGAUGUGAAAUCCCCGGGCUCAACCUGGGAACUGCAUUCAAAACUGACUGACUAGAGUAUGGUAGAGGGUGGUGGAAUUUCCUGUGUAGCGGUGAAAUGCGUAGAUAUAGGAAGGAACACCAGUGGCGAAGGCGACCACCUGGACUAAUACUGACACUGAGGUGCGAAAGCGUGGGGAGUAAACAGGAUUAGAUACCCUGGUAGUCCACGCCGUAAACGAUGUCAACAAGCCGUUGGAAGCCUUGAGCUUUUAGUGGCGCAGCUAACGCAUUAAGUUGACCGCCUGGGGAGUACGGCCGCAAGGUUAAAACUCAAAUGAAUUGACGGGGGCCCGCACAAGCGGUGGAGCAUGUGGUUUAAUUCGAAGCAACGCGAAGAACCUUACCAGGCCUUGACAUCCAAUGAACUUUCUAGAGAUAGAUUGGUGCCUUCGGGAACAUUGAGACAGGUGCUGCGUGGCUGUCGUCAGCUCGUGUCGUGAGAUGUUGGGUUAAGUCCCGUAACGAGCGCAACCCUUGUCCUUAGUUACCAGCACGUCAUGGUGGGCACUCUAAGGAGACUGCCGGUGACAAACCGGAGGAAGGUGGGGAUGACGUCAAGUCAUCAUGGCCCUUACGGCCUGGGCUACACACGUGCUACAAUGGUCGGUACAGAGGGUUGCCAAGCCGCGAGGUGGAGCUAAUCCCACAAAACCGAUCGUAGUCCGGAUCGCAGUCUGCAACUCGACUGCGUGAAGUCGGAAUCGCUAGUAAUCGCGAAUCAGAUGUCGCGGUGAAUACGUUCCCGGGCCUUGUACACACCGCCCGUCACACCAUGGGAGUGGGUUGCACCAGAAGUAGCUAGUCUAACCUUCGGGAGGACGGUUACCACGGUGUGAUUCAUGACUGGGGUGAAGUCGUAACAAGGUA
This 1491-nucleotide ribosomal RNA is filed under the name metagenome. RNAcentral's name for it is "bacterial SSU rRNA". It matches the Rfam family "Bacterial small subunit ribosomal RNA". The record is from RNAcentral.